Brassica oleracea var. oleracea is the source of this 1572-nucleotide long non-coding RNA. RefSeq lists it as uncharacterized. Lineage: Eukaryota; Viridiplantae; Streptophyta; Magnoliopsida; Brassicales; Brassicaceae. The transcript has 4 exons. The record is from RefSeq and is a predicted model, not a curated record.
UAGCUCUACAAUCACUAAACAUCGCGUUUUCGAUUAGUGCUUGCAGUGUCUCUCUCUCUCUCGCGUCUCCACCCUUCCUCCAUUGCCAAUCUUUCGUCUUCCUCCUUCUUCCGGUGGGAGAUGAAGCAGUAACCGAUACCCACUCAUAAAGUCCUCCUUAAUCAAUUAUACACGAUUUCCAUUCAAUGCGACCCUGGAGAGUGCAAGACGGUGGAGGCUCUGCUAUAAAAAGACUGGCCGCUCCUCCUCCUCUAUUCAAGUUUGCCUGCUCCGAUUUUGGGAGGCCAGAAACGUCUGGCGUGGGGGAGAGCUUAUGGAAGUCGACAUGCUCUUUCUAGAUUUUCAUGUUAUCUGUUUACUACUAUUAUUGUUUAGAUUUUUGAUUAUAUCUCCAGUUAAAUUCUAUACAAAUUGCCACCGUCUUGAUUCCAGAUACAAUAAUAAUUCAUUGUGUUUUGGAGUUCUUGCCGUAGAAUAAUGGCUGACCCAUUUCCCAGCUAUUGAUGUUUGAUAUAUUUUUUUCUAAUCUUCGUAUUUUUACGGCUGAGAAAAUAAACCGUUUCAGAAAGUUAGUUGAUGUUUAUAUAUGUUCCACCAUGCUGGAUCCAUAUUACAAACUUCUUUCGUACCUAUUUUUUUGUUUUUUUCAAUUGAGGAAUUCUCAGCUUUGAUGAUUUCGUUGCUUAUAUUUCAGGCAACUAUGAUCCCGGCGAAGCUCACGAUGCUUCAAGUACACGAAGCUCACAGAGCAGUGGAAAUGGUUUGAUGCAUUGAAGCGAAACGAUGCAUCAUCUCGCCCUGGAAAUCAUUGGUGUUGGGAAGAAGAAGCUUUAUGCAGCUAAAGUGUGGGUGAAGCCAAGGUUGAACUUCAAGGAGUUGCAGGAGUUCAAGUCUGCCAAUGACGUUUCCCCCACCAUUACUCCCUUCUAUCUUGCCUGCAAAUAAGGGUUGUGUUUGAUCUAAUGGAAGGAUUAGAAUACUUUUACGCACUAGCUAUCUAUGGAAUGACCCGAGAGAGCAAAAUGAUGGAGCAUCAAGGAUCACAUCUGAUGUAGGGAUGAAAUGGGCUUAUUGCUAAGAACUCUGUUCUUCUUCCCACCUACUCAUUGACACGAAUCUAGGCUGCUGUUUCAUGCCUGAUCUUGGGUCAUUUGUGAGAUUUAACAUGUUGGUAACAGAGCUACUUUGAUAGAUCCAUCAUCACCCGAUUGUUUGUUAUCAGCAACGACGAACAGCAACAAUAUCGACAGAAGCCUGAAAACAGAGAACAACAAAAACUCAAAUCUUUGAAGAGAAAUACAGACAAGACAGGAAGUCACGUCCUUAUUGUUGACCAUCGUCACAAUGAUUCUGAGAGAUGAAGUUUCAAGCUCAUAUCCGAUGAGAAUCAAUGGAAGUCUAAGAAACCAGGAACAAAGAAAGAAAGAGUUGGUUCUUCAAAGAUCAGUUUCCAACAUUGAUAUUACGUGUAUACGCACACCAAUUAACCUAAUGUGCACACUACCACAAUCGAAUGGUAUGUCAAUGUAGCACUUUAAGAUCAAAUCCACAUAAACCAACGAUUACACUUUA